RNA transcript from Ananas comosus (pineapple), 2299 nucleotides. It is a transcript of the gene named spastin, with no coding region annotated. The record is from RefSeq and is a predicted model, not a curated record. The transcript has 13 exons. NCBI's taxonomy places the organism in Eukaryota, Viridiplantae, Streptophyta, Magnoliopsida, Poales, Bromeliaceae.
UAAGGUCAUUAGGGUUUUUCUUUUUUGUUUUUUUGCGAGGUUAAAUGAAAAAAAGGCCCAACGGAUCGAGUGUAUAAUCUAGACAUACUUUUUGGUGUGCCCCUGGCGUUGCUCGAAAGCGACUGAUGGACAAAGAGUGAACGCACCCGGCAUUUGCAAAUAGAAAAACUCUAUCGCAAAUAGAAAAUCUCUAUUGAAGGUGCGAGUUGUGCAACGAAUCAACUACGCGCCCUCGAUCGGCCGCGUAGACGAUUUCCUUCAGAUUCGUUAAUUUUCUCUCCUCAUGAUUUCUUUCGACCGCAUCCCUUCCUCUCCUUCGGUCCUCAAGAAUUAAUCAAACCCUAACCCUAAUUUCCCACCCGAUCUGCCGUACUCGCAUGAGCUACAUCAAGGAUCUCUUCAAUUCCUUCUCCUCCCUCCUCUCCGCCGCCGCUGCCGCGAAUCCGCUCGCGCCCGGCUCCGAUCGCGCCAUGGAGAGCUCCGCCGCCGCCGCCGCCGCCGCCGCCGCGGGGCCCUCCGACGUCGUCGGCGAGAGGGCGGCGCUGAAGUUGAAGGGGUACUUCGAGCUGGCCAAGGAGGAGAUCGACAAGGCCGUGCGCGCCGAGGAGUGGGGCCUCGCCGACGACGCCGUCGCGCACUACAAGAACGCGCUCCGCGUCAUGCUCGAAUCCAAGGCCGUCCGAGUCCCCGACGCCCUCUCCUCCGUUGAGAAGAUGCAGGUUAAGACUUACCAGCAAAAGAUAUCAAAAUGGCAGGGGCAAGUUGCGGAGAGACUACAAAUAUUAAGUCAGAGGACAGGCAUGGAAAUGAAGAAGACAACUCCAAGCCAUAUUUCCGUUAGAACAAACACAUCUACAUCAACUGGUGCUCGAAAGCCUACAUCUCAGCGCAUCCCCAGUUUAAAAGAUAGCCCGAGGAAUUUGAAUCCGACAAGCAGUCAUGAAGGGCCCAAACCUGUUCAACAAGCCACUGGCAGUUAUGAUGCUCGACUAGUUGAAAUGAUAAAUACAGCCAUAGUAGAUAGAAGUCCUGCAGUUAAAUGGGAUGAUGUUGCUGGUCUGGAUAAGGCAAAACAAGCUCUUAUGGAAAUGGUUAUUUUGCCGACUAAAAGAAGAGAUUUAUUUACUGGCCUUCGAAAGCCAGCUAGAGGGUUGCUUCUCUUUGGUCCUCCUGGCAAUGGGAAAACAAUGCUUGCUAAAGCUGUUGCAUCAGAAUCUAAUGCAACCUUCUUUAAUGUUUCUGCUGCAUCUCUAACAUCAAAAUGGGUUGGAGAGGCAGAAAAGCUUGUACGGACUCUUUUCAUGGUUGCCGUCGACAGGCAGCCAUCUGUAAUCUUCAUGGAUGAGAUUGAUAGCCUCUUGUCUUCAAGAUUAGCAAAUGAGAAUGAUGCUAGCAGACGGUUGAAGUCAGAGUUUCUAGUUCAAUUUGACGGUGUGGCAUCCAAUCCAAAUGAUUUAGUAAUUGUCAUUGGUGCUACUAACAAGCCACAAGAGUUGGAUGAUGCUGUUUUACGAAGAUUGGUGAAGAGAAUAUAUAUCCCAUUACCGGAUGCAAGUGUACGAAGGCUACUUCUGAAAAAGCAACUUAAAGGACAAGCAUUUUCAUUGCCCAUGUAUCUCAACAUGACAAGCAUUCAGAUUUCAAACCUUUGUUAGAACACGAGCUUUUUAGAUGCACUAGAAUCAUCCUCUCAUGGAAGAACUACUCUCUUACAGGCAGUGAUAUGGAAAGACUUGUCACGGAGACCGAAGGAUACUCGGGAAGUGAUUUGCAAGCUUUGUGUGAAGAAGCUGCAAUGAUGCCAAUCAGAGAACUCGGUCCUCAGCACAUUCUUACUAUAAAAGCAAAUCAGGUGAGACCACUAAGAUUUGAAGAUUUUAAGAAAGCGAUGACGGUCAUUAGACCAAGCUUGCAGAAGAGCAAGUGGGAAGAGCUCGAGCAGUGGAAUCAGGAAUUCGGCUCCAAUUGAAAGUGCCACUUCCUUUUAAGGACUGUGAAGUUGCAAGCAACAAUUUUUACUCGUAAUGUUGAUGCAUGUAUAUGAAGGGUGAUCUACCUCUAAUCGGCAUUAGAUCAUUUCUUCAUCGUCGCACUUUGCUGCCCUCCCAUUCGAAGCGCAGAUAAACGAGUCGUAUUUCUUCCUCCCUGUGGGUUGGCUGCGGGAGGUUUAACAUCAUGUACAUAAAUAUAGUAUGCAGGAGUUACUUUUCAUUUCUUGUUCAUAGAACCACAGAAACCCCUUCUUCGUAUUAAAUUAUUACUCACAAAAGUGAAAUAUUUUGUGAAGAUUCACAUAGCA